GCCCUUAGCAUGCGGNCCGAUCAUUA
Molecule: ribosomal RNA, 26 nt
Filed under: Arthroderma ciferrii
Lineage: Eukaryota; Fungi; Ascomycota; Eurotiomycetes; Onygenales; Arthrodermataceae
Description: partial 18S ribosomal RNA
Source: RNAcentral